RNAcentral lists this long non-coding RNA (1002 nucleotides) under Capra hircus (goat). RNAcentral describes it as "lncRNA (ENSCHIG00010004769.1)". Lineage: Eukaryota; Metazoa; Chordata; Mammalia; Artiodactyla; Bovidae. The record is from RNAcentral.
AAGCAGUCAUAUGUGCUGUUCAAUCAGCUUAUCCUCUCCCUCUGGCCAUGGUGACUCAAGAUGAGCCUAUGAAACAGCUUCCCAAGAUGGUCUGCCACAACUGCUAAGGAGAGGGCAAGUUUUACUUUUUCCACAGAGAGUGUUAAGCUGGUAAGAUGUAUCUUGAGCCCAGUAUCCCUCCUACCUGCUAGAUCCAGACAUUCCAGAAUUUUCAGUUAUGUUUAUGCUGACUUAAGGUGAGCUUCUAUCACUAGUGAAUGAACAGACACAACUGACACACCACACUAUACAGUAUUGGUUCUAGGAACGAGGUAUGGCCUAAAAAGAUUUCCAAACUCGAUGAAGAUGCCAGUAACUAAUGGCAGAUGGUGACCUAGCCAUGUCCUGUGAGAAUUUGUGGAACUGAGCAUGCAGCUCAAUAAAAUUCACCUUCCUAGCUUCUAAUGUUUUCUGUUCUCUGGACAGCAAGACAUACAGGAAUUCCUGAAAAAAGAACCCUGGCAUCCCAGAGGAUAUUGGUGUUCGUAUAGUUCAAUUUCCCAUUUAAUUGGGAAUUGCCUUUUCACUACCACUAACAAGCUGUCACCUGUCUUUGCUUGCACACUUUUUAUGACAGUUGCUGCCUUUGCAGGAUCCCAUUGGCACUGUCUGCAUUAAAGGCAGUACUAAGUUGCUAACUCACAUAAAAAUUAUAAAUUGGAUACUUGAACCCCACUUUCAGAACCUUUUGUCUUCUCUUCUGAAUUAAAAAAAAAAAAAACUAAAUAUGCCUUAAAGUUUCAAUGCUUCUUUAACCUCAAUACAGAAACAUUUUAUGAUACAGCAAUAAAAACAUAAAAAAUAAAUCCUUGCCAUGAACCUGUGCUACCUCAGCUCCUGCCUUGGCUUUCUUUUUCCAUAAUAUUCUGGAAAAGAUGAUCAUAUGCUUGGUUUUACUUCCUCAGUUCCUGGUAACUUUGGGGACAAUUGAGUCUCUAUCCCACAACAUCCCUGAAACCAUGA